UGUGGGGUUUUCUGUAAAAUGGG
RNAcentral lists this non-coding RNA (23 nucleotides) under Cricetulus griseus (Chinese hamster). The record is from RNAcentral. Lineage: Eukaryota; Metazoa; Chordata; Mammalia; Rodentia; Cricetidae.